CCAAACCAACAAGCUUGCUUGUUGGGGUUGUAGGACACUCUAUACGGAGUUACAAAGGACGACAUUAGACGAAUCAUCUGGAAAGAUGAAUCAAAGAAGGUAAUAAUCCUGUAGUCGAAAAUGUUGUCUCUCUUGAGUGGAUCCUGAGUACGACGGAGCACGUGAAAUUCCGUCGGAAUCUGGGAGGACCAUCUCCUAAGGCUAAAUACUCUCUAGUGACCGAUAGUGAACCAGUACCGUGAGGGAAAGGUGAAAAGCACCCCGGAAGGGGAGUGAAAUAGAACCUGAAACCGUGUGCUUACAAGUAGUCAGAGCCCGUUAAUGGGUGAUGGCGUGCCUUUUGUAGAAUGAACCGGCGAGUUACGAUUUGAUGCAAGGUUAAGCAGUAAAUGUGGAGCCGUAGCGAAAGCGAGUCUGAAUAGGGCGUUUAGUAUUUGGUCGUAGACCCGAAACCAGGUGAUCUACCCUUGGUCAGGUUGAAGUUCAGGUAACACUGAAUGGAGGACCGAACCGACUUACGUUGAAAAGUGAGCGGAUGAACUGAGGGUAGCGGAGAAAUUCCAAUCGAACCUGGAGAUAGCUGGUUCUCUCCGAAAUAGCUUUAGGGCUAGCCUCAAGUGAUGAUUAUUGGAGGUAGAGCACUGUUUGGACGAGGGGCCCCUCUCGGGUUACCGAAUUCAGACAAACUCCGAAUGCCAAUUAAUUUAACUUGGGAGUCAGAACAUGGGUGAUAAGGUCCGUGUUCGAAAGGGAAACAGCCCAGACCACCAGCUAAGGUCCCAAAAUAUAUGUUAAGUGGAAAAGGAUGUGGCGUUGCCCAGACAACUAGGAUGUUGGCUUAGAAGCAGCCAUCAUUUAAAGAGUGCGUAAUAGCUCACUAGUCGAGUGACACUGCGCCGAAAAUGUACCGGGGCUAAACAUAUUACCGAAGCUGUGGAUUGUCCUUUGGACAAUGGUAGGAGAGCGUUCUAAGGGCGUUGAAGCAUGAUCGUAAGGACAUGUGGAGCGCUUAGAAGUGAGAAUGCCGGUGUGAGUAGCGAAAGACGGGUGAGAAUCCCGUCCACCGAUUGACUAAGGUUUCCAGAGGAAGGCUCGUCCGCUCUGGGUUAGUCGGGUCCUAAGCUGAGGCCGACAGGCGUAGGCGAUGGAUAACAGGUUGAUAUUCCUGUACCACCUAUAAUCGUUUUAAUCGAUGGGGGGACGCAGUAGGAUAGGCGAAGCGUGCGAUUGGAUUGCACGUCUAAGCAGUAAGGCUGAGUAUUAGGCAAAUCCGGUACUCGUUAAGGCUGAGCUGUGAUGGGGAGAAGACAUUGUGUCUUCGAGUCGUUGAUUUCACACUGCCGAGAAAAGCCUCUAGAUAGAAAAUAGGUGCCCGUACCGCAAACCGACACAGGUAGUCAAGAUGAGAAUUCUAAGGUGAGCGAGCGAACUCUCGUUAAGGAACUCGGCAAAAUGACCCCGUAACUUCGGGAGAAGGGGUGCUCUUUAGGGUUAACGCCCAGAAGAGCCGCAGUGAAUAGGCCCAAGCGACUGUUUAUCAAAAACACAGGUCUCUGCUAAACCGUAAGGUGAUGUAUAGGGGCUGACGCCUGCCCGGUGCUGGAAGGUUAAGAGGAGUGGUUAGCUUCUGCGAAGCUACGAAUCGAAGCCCCAGUAAACGGCGGCCGUAACUAUAACGGUCCUAAGGUAGCGAAAUUCCUUGUCGGGUAAGUUCCGACCCGCACGAAAGGCGUAACGAUUUGGGCACUGUCUCAACGAGAGACUCGGUGAAAUCAUAGUACCUGUGAAGAUGCAGGUUACCCGCGACAGGACGGAAAGACCCCGUGGAGCUUUACUGUAGCCUGAUAUUGAAAUUCGGCACAGCUUGUACAGGAUAGGUAGGAGCCUUUGAAACGUGAGCGCUAGCUUACGUGGAGGCGCUGGUGGGAUACUACCCUAGCUGUGUUGGCUUUCUAACCCGCACCACUUAUCGUGGUGGGAGACAGUGUCAGGCGGGCAGUUUGACUGGGGCGGUCGCCUCCUAAAAGGUAACGGAGGCGCUCAAAGGUUCCCUCAGAAUGGUUGGAAAUCAUUCAUAGAGUGUAAAGGCAUAAGGGAGCUUGACUGCGAGACCUACAAGUCGAGCAGGGUCGAAAGACGGACUUAGUGAUCCGGUGGUUCCGCAUGGAAGGGCCAUCGCUCAACGGAUAAAAGCUACCCCGGGGAUAACAGGCUUAUCUCCCCCAAGAGUUCACAUCGACGGGGAGGUUUGGCACCUCGAUGUCGGCUCAUCGCAUCCUGGGGCUGUAGUCGGUCCCAAGGGUUGGGCUGUUCGCCCAUUAAAGCGGUACGCGAGCUGGGUUCAGAACGUCGUGAGACAGUUCGGUCCCUAUCCGUCGUGGGCGUAGGAAAUUUGAGAGGAGCUGUCCUUAGUACGAGAGGACCGGGAUGGACAUACCUCUGGUGUACCAGUUGUCGUGCCAACGGCAUAGCUGGGUAGCUAUGUGUGGACGGGAUAAGUGCUGAAAGCAUCUAAGCAUGAAGCCCCCCUCAAGAUGAGAUUUCCCAACUUCGGUUAUAAGAUCCCUCAAAGAUGAUGAGGUUAAUAGGUUCGAGGUGGAAGCAUGGUGACAUGUGGAG
RNAcentral lists this ribosomal RNA (2619 nucleotides) under Staphylococcus aureus. Its description in RNAcentral is "bacterial LSU rRNA". It matches the Rfam family "Bacterial large subunit ribosomal RNA", at positions 269 to 2890 of the family's 2925-position model. The record is from RNAcentral. Lineage: Bacteria; Bacillati; Bacillota; Bacilli; Caryophanales; Staphylococcaceae.